This 1861-nucleotide long non-coding RNA is filed under the name Cicer arietinum (chickpea). RNAcentral's name for it is "long non-coding RNA (CARI_LNC002213)". The record is from RNAcentral. Lineage: Eukaryota; Viridiplantae; Streptophyta; Magnoliopsida; Fabales; Fabaceae.
AUAAGGGCAUACAAAAAAUUAACAUAAAUAUUUACGAUUUUUAAACAAAAUUCAAAUGAGACUUAAUUAAACUAUAAACUCUCAAUAUGUGAUCCAACUUUGAUUCAUAACAUUGAAGAACUGCUGAGCAAUUCAGAUACUCUUCAUACUUUCAACAUUUACUUGUUACCUAAAAAACAUCACCCUCAACAUAGUGAAUAUAAAAUUCAGUAACAUAAAUUUAAUAAAACAAUUAUAUAUAUUUUCUAAUCAUACUGUUGUACUAAAUAUGGAAAACCGUAUCGAGAAAUUAUAUCUCAAUUUAUUAAAACUCUAUUUAUUUGUAAGCUAUACUUAAAUACUUCUAGUAUCAAAUAUUUCAAACAAUUUAAUUCACUAGACAUGAGUAAUCUUCUCACUUAAACUCUACAUAUUAAGUAAGUCAUAAAGACUACAUUAGUUUCACACAAUACCUUCUACUUGAAUUGCCUCUUUUGGUAAUAUUAUACCUAUUUAAGUCUAUAAGUGGUGCCUCACCCCAUUUAUCAUCGCUUACCCUCUCAUCGCUUACCCUCUCACUCCCAUAGUAUAUAAAUGUAGAACACACACAUAAACACACGUCUUCUUUUAGACUCAACCAAUUUUACUAAAAAAACAAAUUUUAUAACUCAAGAUAUAGAUAUUUUAAAAUGACUAAUGGAUAACAACUUAUAAAAUAGAACAAUCUACUCUGUAAAGUCACAAAAUUUGUUAAAUUAAUAUAAAUUUUUAUAGUUACAAUGUACUAGUAAUAAAUUUUCAAGAGCAAUUGUUUUCACUCAAAACCGACUCAUAUUACUUAUGUUAUACACAUUUUAACUCAACUACAUCCUAAUAUUUUUAAAACAUUAUAACUUUUGACAAUUUAAUUAAAAUAUCAAAUGAUGUUCGAAUUGAAUAAAUUAUAAUAUUAUAAAAAACUUAAGAUGUCUAGUUUACAAAUAUAAUUUUUAUUCUGCACAACAAAUAUUCAAUUAAUACAGUUUAAUAAAAUAAGGUAUAUAUCUACAAAAACAAAACAACAUAUUUUUUUUUUCAACUUGUAACUCAAUGUUUUUUAUUAAUAGGACAUAAAUCAACUCUAAACACUAUCAAUGGAGAAAGUUAUGAACAAAAUAUCAAAUGUAUACUUAUACGGGUUCAAAGACAACAUUAUAUUUUUUUCAUUUCAAACUUUAUAUUCUCAAGUUCAUCUGCUCAACUAAGUAAAAUAUAUUUCAAAAUUCAACAUAAAUUCAAUUAGUUAUCAAUACUAAACAAUUAUCAUCUCAUCACUAACCUAACCACAACACUUAAUAAUCAUAAUAAACAACAACUCUUCAUAGUAAUUAAAACAAACACAUGCAUUGUUAAUAAUCAAUGAUACUAAAUCAAAUAUGAUUAUCACAAUACCCAAAAAUACAAAUCAUGAACAUUAGCAACAUACCAUCAAGAUCUCUAAACACAUCUAAAAUAGGUUUUAUAUAUUACCUCUAAGAACGAAAAUCAAAUGAGAUAAAAUUCACCAUUGUUAAAGUUUUAUGUUUCCUUUUCAAACAUGCAAGAAUCCUAACUUCAAAAUUGACUUAUUAUUUCUCUAUUCUCCUUCCAUGACUGAACCCUUAAUCUUCUUUGUCUUCUUGUUUCCUUCGUGUCAUUCUUCUUUGUUCUCUUCAUCCCUCACUCCUCCUUCCUCUCUCACAAUUUCCCUUAUCUCAUUUUUUCUUUCUCUCGACUAUCUUUCAUUUUACGGUUUUAUUUUUGGGUCUUUCUUUCUUUUCUUUUUCUAUGUGAUGAAAUGAAGUUAGAAAAAGUCAAAGUUGCAUGAUCCUCAUUGGUUAGGUUUGAGGUGAAUGAAGGCAAG